GUUGACCUCGGAUCAGGUAGGGAUACCCGCUGAACUUAAGCAUAUCAAUAAGCGGAGGAAAAGAAACCAACAGGGAUUGCUCUAGUAACGGCGAGUGAAGCAGCAAUAGCUCAAAUUUGAAAUCUGGCGUCUUCGGCGUCCGAGUUGUAAUUUGUAGAGGAUGCUUCUGAGUAACCACCGACCUAAGUUCCUUGGAACAGGACGUCAUAGAGGGUGAGAAUCCCGUAUGCGGUCGGAAAGGUGCUCUACACGUAGCUCCUUCGACGAGUCGAGUUGUUUGGGAAUGCAGCUCUAAAUGGGAGGUAAAUUC
This 310-nucleotide ribosomal RNA is filed under the name Cladosporium sp. RNAcentral's name for it is "eukaryotic LSU rRNA". It matches the Rfam family "Eukaryotic large subunit ribosomal RNA", at positions 1 to 306 of the family's 3401-position model. Lineage: Eukaryota; Fungi; Ascomycota; Dothideomycetes; Cladosporiales; Cladosporiaceae. The record is from RNAcentral.